CUAAUGUUUUGUUUGUGCCUGCAUUAACGGAGAAAGGGUCUCCACCCUGGAGCACCACUCCUUCUCUGACCACAGAGCACAGGCAACCACAGCCUUUCGUGAGAUAACUCAGUGCAGCUGCCAGCUCAGCCCCAGCCUGGCAGAGGGAAUGGGGACUUCUGCAGAGCAGAACGAGGUCCAGAGCUGUGCAGAUGUGACCUCCCUAACAAGGGCAUGGGAAGGGGUGGACGCUUUGGAGAUAAAGUCAUGUUGUCCUCCUGCCCGUGGUGCAGUGAAGCCAGGCUGCAAGAAAACACCAAAAUGAAGCACUUUUGAAGCCCUGAACUGGCCAGCUCCAUCUGACAGCUCCAAAAACAGCUCCUUAAACUCCUGCCUGGUUUCAUUCUGUGCAGAGAGCCAGGUCAGACCAUGAAACACCCAGACAGCAAGGACAGGGCUCAGACCUGGCACAGACUCGUGGGCUUCCCUUGCCUGGAGAGCACCCAAAACUGCCCUCUCCACUCAGCCCUCUGCAGAAGACCCAAAGGCAGCCCUCCUGGGACACGGCAUGUUUCUGCAGCAAGUCCUGGGCACCAGCUACAGAGGUAGUUUUGCUGGAGGAGCUUGUGCACAUCAGAGGGGGUGCCGUGCCCUGUGGAGCCCUCUCAGGCUCCUGGGUGGAGCGCCUCCUGCUCCACCAGAAAGACUGUGAAAAUAAUUGCUUAUCCAAAGGAUGGUGAGUAAAGCCUUUGUUUGAUCCACCUCCACAAUUUAUUGAUUGUCUGCACACGGAAAAGAUUACCCUGCCCUAUAAAAACCACCGAGAAAAGGAAGCGAUCAACAGAGGCAAAUGAAGUGAGCAAUUAGUCUGAAACCCUUCAGACCAGCUUUACUUUCAGGCAAGGUUUGAGCAGUGUCAUGCUGACACAAGAAUCUUCAGCAGUCACAAGGAUGGCCCGUGCUGGCAGUGAAGAUUUGUACAACACUGUGAAUUUCCAGGAAGAAGGUUCACCACCCUCCACCUAUGCCAUUGUCAUGGUGUCCCUCAGUGGAAGCCUCCUGCUGCUGGUUGCCAUCAGCAUGGCAAUAAGUGUUCUCCGGAGGCGUUGUACAUCAAAUUAUUCCUCCAAAGACCUCAGAACACCUGUGGUGGUGGAAAGAGUUACAGUGGCAAACUGCAGCUCUGGCAAGAUUUCAACUGUGGAUUUGACUGGCCCGAUGUGCAUAAAUUACAUUUCUUACAAGCAAAAUGUGUGCCCAGCCAGAGUUUGCCAUCUCUGAAGAGACAAUUUCCAUUUCUGAUGCUUCUCCUUUGACAACACCCCCCCCAGUUCAGUGCCAGAGCAAUGAUAGCCCACAACUUCUUCCAUUUGCAGCUUUCUUCUGGAGAGAAAAGGGGAUAAAGGCUCAGGAGAUGUGUGCUACUGAGUGGAUGGACUGACAUGUUGCACUUCAUUUUCUCCACCAAAGUGCUGGACUGUGAACUCAUACCAUAAAAGUAUUAGAAAAUGCAGGAAAAUUGAGGGUUUUUUUAAUGGAAGUGGAGAAAAAGCAUAGAUACAUGUACCUUUACUCUGUGACGCAUUGUGAUAAAAAUUUGCUGCAGAG
Parus major (Great Tit) is the source of this 1587-nucleotide long non-coding RNA. Lineage: Eukaryota; Metazoa; Chordata; Aves; Passeriformes; Paridae. The record is from Ensembl.